Molecule: long non-coding RNA, 226 nt
Filed under: Gallus gallus (chicken)
Lineage: Eukaryota; Metazoa; Chordata; Aves; Galliformes; Phasianidae
Source: RNAcentral
GUUGGGAAAGCCGCGGAGAAAUGGACGUGGUCCGCGCGUCGAAGCGAAGAGGCGCUUCUACCGAGAGCCUGGGAAGUGUCAGCCCGUAGCCUUGGCUCUGUGUACGUUAGCGGCGGAGGCUUGGAAACGUGCUCGUCACGAGCGGCUGAGGGAGGUUUUAUAUAUAUAUAUAUAUAUAUGUAUGUAUAUCUACUGCAAUUCGUGACAGCCUUUAGCGAAAAAGCUC